CUGGAACAGUCUGUUAAUAUAAAUGUAGGUGCUUUUAUCCCUCCUCGCUCUGAGCCAAAUGAACCUUGAACUGCUCAUGGCACAGGAGCUGCAAGUCCACAGCUCAAGCCACUCUCUGGGUUAGCUAAUUUUGUUUGUUCGUGUGUCACCAUGGGCACUGCCACUCCAGAGACAUGACCCUGUGGAUAAGAUGGCCAAAUUUUAUGUGAGUUAGACUAGGAAGGGUCUUGCCAGAUGGUCCUGAAUCUGUUUUCUCCAUACAGGAUCCCGAACGUCUUAUUGACACGCCGGAAGGUGGAAGACUGGCGAUGUCUGAACCUAGCACGUGUAGCUGCAGACACAAGAGAUGGGUGUCAUCAUGUUCCAAGGGUGGAAACAGGGCGGCAGGCCACCAUAUGUGAGAACAUAGCAAGAAGAGAAAGACUGAUGCAAGUCAA
RNAcentral lists this long non-coding RNA (437 nucleotides) under Capra hircus (goat). RNAcentral's name for it is "lncRNA (ENSCHIG00010027652.1)". The record is from RNAcentral. Lineage: Eukaryota; Metazoa; Chordata; Mammalia; Artiodactyla; Bovidae.